Mus musculus (house mouse) is the source of this 1856-nucleotide long non-coding RNA. RefSeq annotates it as predicted gene, 40089. Lineage: Eukaryota; Metazoa; Chordata; Mammalia; Rodentia; Muridae. The transcript has 6 exons. The record is from RefSeq and is a predicted model, not a curated record.
CAGACAAGGGAGCUGUCUGGGUCACCUAGAAAGAAUGUGGCAAGGUCUGUGUCACGCUGGUGUUCCUUAUGGGGGUGGGGGAAGUUAAGGAAAAGUCAGAUGCUGUGAGUUUUGGAUGGUUCCAGAACUUUCACUGCAGUUCACCGAUAAAUAAGGUAAACUGUAGAGAUGCCAGAGCACUUCCUGUUCUUACAGAGGACCUGGGUUUGACUUCCAGAACGCACAUGGUGGCCCACAAUCUUCCAUAUCUCCAUUUUCAUGGCAUCUUGUGCCCUCUUCAAAUCUCUGAGCGUGCCAGUCACAUGCAUGUGACAUGUGACAUACAUACAGGCAAAAGAUUCACACACACACACACAAAUAAAAUAAGUACAUUAAAAAAUAAAACAGUACAGGUGAAAAAAAAGAUUAAGCAUAGGCCAUCAAGACGGCUCCGUGUGCGAAGCAUUUGCCGUACAAGCCUGACAACUUGGGUUCCAUCACCGGAACCCACAUAAAGGUGGGAAUGAUGCCUCAGGGUAUCGUCUGAUCUCCACAUAGGCACUGUGGUGUGUGUGUACCCCACAUACGCAUCACACACACACACACACACACACUAACAGACUUAGUGUGGGGGCUAAAGAGAUAGAUCAGGGAGCUGGAGAGAUGGCUCAGUGGUUAAGAGUACUGACUGCUCUUCCAGAGAACUCAGGUUCAGUGUCUUACAGUGAUCUAGAAAACUAUAGCUUCAAGGGAUCUGAAGGCUUGUUCUGGCCUCUGAGGGCACAAGAUACACACAGUGCAUUUAAACACACAUAAGUGAAACAUUUGUAUACAUAAAACCCAGAAAAUGAGGUAAAAUAAAGUAGAGAUUGUUUGAAACGGAGCGUAUGCUGGGGAUGAAGACUGUCCGCGAGACGAAGACCCUUUCAACCGCCAGGUGUCGCUGUGGGAAAGGAAAGAGCUACAGAGCUAGCUGGCCAGAACUGGGGCCUCCAGCGGGUUGAUUAGACCUGUGAGCCUAAGCUGAGCUGAACAGUGCAUGCUGGCCCUGAGGAGACCAUCGGAGGGGAGAUGUGAAGUAUCCUCAUAGCAGGACGACAAAGCCAGGUGGAUUGUGGAAAAAACGGCCAUGGAUUCUGGAGGCAAGAAAUCAGAAGAGCCUGUUGGAUCCCUGGAGCUAGAGAUGUGAGCUGCCAAAUGAACGCUCAGAGAACAUUAUGAGAAAAGCAGCAGAGAGAAUGUAAGAGAUGGAGCAAGGAUUGGAGCGCUGGGAGCUACUUACUCAAGAGGAAAGGUCAUUAAAACCCAGGAAGUAGAACAAACUUACAAAUUCUAGGAAGCACCAGAAAUGUACAAGAUUGACAAGGCCUCCUCCCAAGGGUGGACAUGUUUCUGUUUGGAACAACAAAGCUGCCUUUGAGUUAACAUCUGGUCAGGUAGUCCCUGACUGAUGGAGAUUUGAUAGGUCCCUCAUCCCCCAAGCAUACACAAAGCAGCAAGGACUGCUGAGAGAUGCUCUCAGACAGGCUGAGCUACCUAGAAGCUGAGCUCAGUACAACUGCCAGGAAGAGGCCCAGAGCACCGAGACUUGGACACUGGUGGUAUGCACACUUUGGUCUGUCUUUGAUUCCCUAUUUGGGGAAGCCUCACUGGACCCAGAGCUCACCCACUGGGCUAGACUGGUGGCCAGCAAGACCCAAGAAUCUCCUGCCUCAACCUCAGAACUGGAUGAUAGGGGCUCACUGCUGCACCUGACUUUUUCACAUGACUGCUUGGGAAUCGAACCCAGGUCCUUGAGCUUGCAUGGUUAUUGCUUUCCCGCCUGAGCCAGCUUCUCAGCCUUUUCUUUUUGAGACAAGGUCUCCUGUAGCCCAGUC